GAUGAACGCUGGCGGCGUGCCUAAUACAUGCAAGUCGAGCGAACAGACGAGGAGCUUGCUCCUCUGACGUUAGCGGCGGACGGGUGAGUAACACGUGGAUAACCUACCUAUAAGACUGGGAUAACUUCGGGAAACCGGAGCUAAUACCGGAUAAUAUAUUGAACCGCAUGGUUCAAUAGUGAAAGACGGUUUUGCUGUCACUUAUAGAUGGAUCUGGGCCGCAUUAGCUAGUUGGUAAGUUAACGGGUUACCAAGGCGAGGAUGCGUAGCCGACCUGAGAGGGUGAUCGGCGACACUGGAAGUGGGACACGGUCCAGACUCCUAAGGGAGGCAGCAGUAGGGAAUCGUCCGCAAUGGGCGGAAGCCUGACGGAGCAGCGCCGCGUGAGUGAUGAAGGUCUUCGGAUCGUAAAACUCUGUUAUUAGGGAAGAACAAAUGUGUAAGUAACUAUGCACGUCUUGACGGUACCUAAUCAGAAAGCCACGGCUAACUACGUG
RNAcentral lists this ribosomal RNA (497 nucleotides) under uncultured bacterium. RNAcentral describes it as "partial 16S ribosomal RNA". It matches the Rfam family "Bacterial small subunit ribosomal RNA", at positions 28 to 507 of the family's 1533-position model. The record is from RNAcentral.